CUGCCCGAGCCCCACCCCCCACCCCCUCCUGGUGGGCUUCCGCUUGGCCCGAGCUUCCUCGACGGGGGCUGCCCCCUGCUGGGCAGCGCCCAGUCCCAUGACCGCCCAAGGGUUGAGGAGUGCAGGCGCCUGACGCGGCCCUGGCACAGAAUCCACUAGGUGAAGCCAGCUAGGCUCCUGAGGCGGGUGGGGACUUGGAGAACUUUUAUGUCUAGCUAUAGGAUUGUAAGUACACCAAUCAGCAUUCUGUGUCUAGCCCAAGGUUUGUAAACACACCAAUCAGUACCCUGUGUCUAGCUCAAGGUUUGUAAAUGCACCAGUCAGUGCUCUGUGUGUAGCUAAUCUAGUGGGGACUUGGAGAACUUUUGUGUCUAGCUAAAGGUUUGUAAACGUGCCAGUCAGCACCCUGUCAAAACAGACCAAUCAGUUCUCUGUAAAACGGACCAAUCAGCUUGCUGUAAAAUGGACCAAUCAGCAGGAUGUGGGUGGGGCCAGAUAAGGGAAUAAAAGCAGGCUGCCCGAAUCAGCAGGGGCAACUUGCUGGGGUUCUCUUCUGAGCUGUGGAAGCUUUGUUGUUUUGCUCUUUACAAUAAAUGUUCAUUCUUUGGGUCCGCAUUGCCUUUAUGAGCUGUAACACUCACUGUGAAGGUCUACUGAUGCCACCGAGACCAUGAACCCACCAGGAGGAAUGGAACGAAUAACUCCUGACGGGAGGAAGGAUCAACUCCAGAGGCGCCGCCUUAAGAGCUGUAACACACGGUGAAGGUCUGCACCUUCACUCCUGAAGCCAGAGAGACCAUGAACCCACCAGAAGGAGGAAACUCCAAACAUGUCCAAACAUCAGAAGGAACAAACUCCAGACACACCACCUUUAAGAAUUGUAACACUCACUGCGAGGGUCGGUGGCUUCAUUCUUUAAGUUCGUGAGACCAAGAACCCACCAAUUCCGGACACACUGCCACCCCCCGUCACCUUCAGCGUGAAGCGGGAUGAGCCCUAGAUACAUAGCACCUUUCUCACCCGGACUGGAGACCUGUCCCCAGGGUAGGGGGUAGAUUCCUGGGUGCCACCAGGCAGGGUCUGGUUCAAAUGAGAAGAUGAUUGGCAGGGAUGCUCUAUCCUCCCCAAGCUGGAUCAGCAAGAACAGUUAUGAAGCCAGUUAUGAUGUGAAGAGAGGCUCACAUGGCAAGGACUGAAGCCUCCUGCCAACAGCCACACAUAUGAGUCACCUUGGAAGCAGAUCUUCCUGCACCAGUCAAAUCUUCGGAUGACUGCAGCCCCAGCCUCCACCUCGACCACCUCAUGAGAGACGCUGAGUCAGAGCCAUCCAGUUAAGCUGCUUCUGAGCUCCUGACCCACAUCAACUGUGAGAUUAGAAAUGUCUGUUGUUAAUCAAAACCGCAAUGAGAUACCAUCUUACACCAGUUAGAAUGGCUGUUACUAAAAAGUCGAAAAACAGCUGAUGCUCGUGAGGCUGCAGAGAAAAGGGAACACUUAGACACUGUUGGUGGGAGUGUAAAUUAAUGCAACCAUUGUGGAAAGCAGUGUGGUGAUUCCUCAAAGGGCUAAAAACAGAACUACCAUUCAACCCAGCAAUCCCAUUACAAGGUAUAUACCCAAAGGAAUAUAAAUCAUUGUACCCUAAAGACGCACGCAUGCAAAUGUUCAUUGCAGCACUAUUCACAGUAGCAGAGACGUGGAGUCAACCUAAAUGUUCAUCAAUGACAGAUUGGAUGAAGAAAAUGUGGUACAGAUACACCAUGGAAUGCUAUGCAGCCAUAAAAAAAGAAUGCGAUCGUGUCUUUUGUGGGAGCAUGAAUGGAGCUGGAGGCCAUUAUCCUUAGCAAACUAAUGUAGGAACAGAAAACCAAAUACCUCUUGUUGUCACUUAUUAGUGGGAGCUAAAUGAUGAGAACUCAUGGACACAAAGAGGGGAAUAGCAGACACUGGAACCUACUUGAGGAUGAAGGGUGGGAGGAGGGAGAGGAGCAGAAAAAAGUGACUAUUGGGCAGUAGGCUUAGUACCUG
Molecule: long non-coding RNA, 2028 nt
Filed under: Homo sapiens (human)
Lineage: Eukaryota; Metazoa; Chordata; Mammalia; Primates; Hominidae
Description: HSALNT0245613
Source: RNAcentral